Long non-coding RNA from Xiphias gladius (swordfish), 521 nucleotides. RefSeq lists it as uncharacterized. The transcript is spliced from 3 exons. NCBI's taxonomy places the organism in Eukaryota, Metazoa, Chordata, Actinopteri, Istiophoriformes, Xiphiidae. The record is from RefSeq and is a predicted model, not a curated record.
AUAAACCCACUGAAAACUGGCUGUCUGGACUCGGGAGGACUCAGGACUCAGGAUUCAGGAUUCAGUAGUCUUGUUUUACUGAGAUGAAGUGUAAUUCUAAAUUUUUCAUGUCUCUCGGGCAAAAGAAGGACUGUGACUGAUGCUGAGCUGGAAGAGUUUAAGAGGCAGGGAGAGUGUCUGAACUUACCAAGGACUUUCAGACUGAGCACAGAAGGAGUGGAGGUGUUUGCCCGAGGAGUUUUCCCUUUUGUGCUGGGCUAUGCACUUGUUUGGAAGUUGUGUCGUCUCCCCGAUGGGUUGGUGUGUGACUCUCUUUCUGUGGGAGCUGCCCACCAAUCCGUUGAGUUGAUGAAGCCCCUGUCGAUAACAUCCCCACGACUAAAGCAGCGAUUCCACUUGCCUUUGACGCAGUGCUUCUAGAUGUCCCGUGACCUUGUAUUUUAAUAGAAACUUUAUGUCAACAAGCAGGAAAACUCAACUCAAAUACAAAUUAAAAAAAAAAAAUCAAACCGAGUUACAGA